GUGUUUUUCGGAGAUGAAUACUCAAAAUUUUUGAGUAUUAUGAUUCUCAUCUGAAUAGGAAGAUCUGAUGC
This 71-nucleotide small nucleolar RNA is filed under the name Solanum lycopersicum (tomato). RNAcentral describes it as "Small nucleolar RNA snoR64a". It matches the Rfam family "Small nucleolar RNA snoR64a". The record is from Rfam by way of RNAcentral. Lineage: Eukaryota; Viridiplantae; Streptophyta; Magnoliopsida; Solanales; Solanaceae.